ACUGUGAUUGUAAAAAAAGCGUAAUAUGUAUCAAAACUUUGAGUUAUGUGAAAAAUGUCCCAAGUCUUAUUACCAGUUUAAAGUUUCAAUUACGUUUCUACGGUAAAGUAUGACGACACUGUGAUGCUCCAAAAUGUCCUUCAUUUUGAUCCUUCCUUCGACCGUUUCCCAUUCAUUUGUGUGUGGAAAUUAUUUGCAGUAUUUUGCGAUUUUUGACGCCACAUCGAAACACACAAGUCUCGAGGUUCUCACUAGUAUUCCUUGCAGCAGGCACUAAUAAUGUAGCUAAGUAUAUUGUACAAGCAAGUUCUUGCAUAACCCAUUCUGACAAUUCUUUCUUACUAAAGUGUGGAGAGCUCCCAGAGGGGGUUCAAAGCAGGUGUAGGAACAUUGACUUUGUCAUUGCUUUUACAUGUGCUCUGCUUGUCAAGAGGUGUUGGAUACUUCCCUUGUCCCUGGCAGUGAAAGCAGCAGAGGACGCAAGGGGAGAUUUUCUCUUUUCUCUAUUCUUUUUCUUUCUUUUUUUGUUUCAACUCAGACAUCACAGAUACCUGCAGGACACAUCAGUGCUGUCCAUGUCAGUCGGAGGCAAACCGCGUUUGACAGGCCUACAGGAGAUUCGGUUUGACCACGUUCUAGGGCAGCUGUAACCUUCCAGGUCUGAAUGAGAAACAGGUGGUGGGGUCGAGCAACGCUCUCUCGGCUCAAAGGAAAACACCAGAACAGCGUAACAGCUUACAUGAUGCUAAUAAUGCACAAAGCAUAUUGCCUGAUGAUGUGAUUUAAACGGCGUUGUGUAUUAAUUGUUUGAUUCACUGUGUUACAUGUGAGCUAAAUAGUAGCACACCUACUGCCUGGUUUUCUUCUUCUUCUUCUUCUUCUGAGGUGCUGUCUUCUCUGCCCCAAAUGACACUGCAUGUAUUUAUAACAAUGAAUAAACAGCAUAGCAUCGCA
Molecule: long non-coding RNA, 954 nt
Organism: Solea senegalensis (Senegalese sole)
Lineage: Eukaryota; Metazoa; Chordata; Actinopteri; Pleuronectiformes; Soleidae
Exons: 2
Source: RefSeq, a predicted model, not a curated record